Small nucleolar RNA from Eptesicus fuscus (big brown bat), 127 nucleotides. RefSeq annotates it as small nucleolar RNA SNORA38. NCBI's taxonomy places the organism in Eukaryota, Metazoa, Chordata, Mammalia, Chiroptera, Vespertilionidae. The record is from RefSeq and is a predicted model, not a curated record. The transcript has a single exon.
UCCAUUUCCACAUGUUCAUUGCUAGAGUAUAAAUUAAUUUUUGUAAUUGGAGGCAAAGAAAUGUGAAAUUGGAGAAGUCUGGAGCCAGCUUGCUCCCUGCAGGCUCAAGAUCAACCAUCCCACAUAG